Molecule: long non-coding RNA, 274 nt
Filed under: Pelobates cultripes (western spadefoot toad)
Lineage: Eukaryota; Metazoa; Chordata; Amphibia; Anura; Pelobatidae
Source: RNAcentral
GCACAUUAUUACUGAAUGGCACUCGGAUCACAUACAGUUCAAUUGCCAUGGAGCCAAAGUCUUUCCCAUAGUCUUUCAUUAUACGAAUGGGCUCCAUGGCACAGCUAUCUGGGGUAUCACUGCUCAAACAGGGCAAGCACCAAAUGACCUGGCUUUCAUGUCUUUGCAGGGGAAAAUCAAGCGUUUCAACAUGGGGCCAUAAUCCAAAGGCAACAGGCGAGCAACCAGGCUCCUCCAAUGCACAGUGGCAAGAUGGGUCUCAUCACAAUCCGAU